Non-coding RNA from Leptonychotes weddellii (Weddell seal), 280 nucleotides. NCBI's taxonomy places the organism in Eukaryota, Metazoa, Chordata, Mammalia, Carnivora, Phocidae. The record is from RefSeq and is a predicted model, not a curated record.
UCCUGUGAUGAGAAACAUCUGCGUGCCGCAGGUGCCAGAGACCCCCUUCCCAGGCUCGUCCGUAAGGAGUCUGGCUCACGCCACCUAUCAAGCAGAUGUGCACAUAUAUUCAUAUUAUGUUGGUUCUGUUUCUCUGGAGAGCCCUGACUAAUCCACAUUCGAAAAGAGUGAACAUAACAACAGCGUCUACUUCGCGGGUUGAUUAUGCUUGAUUUCAGAAUAAAGAGAAACGUCUGGGUGUAAAAACCAAGGGAUAAAUGAAAAUCAGAGGAUAAGCAAA